Molecule: long non-coding RNA, 918 nt
Filed under: Chinchilla lanigera (long-tailed chinchilla)
Lineage: Eukaryota; Metazoa; Chordata; Mammalia; Rodentia; Chinchillidae
Description: lncRNA (ENSCLAG00000029159.1)
Source: RNAcentral
AUCCUUUCCAUUCGUUGGUAUGCACUUUUCUUCACUGGGUGUCAGUUGAGAAGCAUAAAUGUUAAAUGUCUCGUUUUCAUUGCAAAGAACAUUGCCCACAUUCUAGAAUGAAAAGUCGUGAAUAAAGAUAAACAGCUUUUUCACGUUUUCUUAAUGGACCAUCAGAGCCAGGCUUCCAGCAACAUUGCAUUCUAGAAUUCUUGGAAACUACUCACUCACUGAAGAAUCUGUUUCUGGAACUUCCCCGUCAACACAAGGUGCUACAAUGACCUAGAAAGGAUAUUAUUCUUCAAAACUGAGAACCUGAGGCACAAAAGAGAGAAAACAUCUGAGCUACAUGAAAAGCACCGAUGUGUAUACAGUUGGUGUAAGAAGAUAAGUGGAAUAGCAACAGAUAUUCUAUGGAUUUGCCAUUGUAAAUGUAGACAAAGCCUCAGAUGAGGCGGAUGAAAGUGACGAAUGGGGAUGAUACGCUGAAGGUCUGCACAAAGAAUGAGAAGAUUUUUGCUCAACUGCCUUUCAAGUUUGAGUAAGAUUUCAUUGAAUGUGUUAUAGAAGAACUAAGGCCAAAGCCCAUGUCAUUGCUAGAGUCCUCAGAUUCUUCUCUUUGUUUCCCCUCACUCCUCUCAUCUGGAAAGCAGUGGCAGAGGGGCAAAGUCCUACAUGAGCCCUUCCAUGACAGAUGAGGCUGCUAACUUCACGUUGUCCAGGGCCUUUACAAACAAACCAGAAAGAAGAAAGCAGAGGUUCAACCAGAUUUUAUACAUUAGAAAAAAGUACAUGGCACAAAAAUAAAACAAUGGUAUGAUAGUAGAAUAGAAUUACCAGCAGAUGCCUGGAAAUGGCUUUUGAAAAUGCCAUGUAAACAUACAUAAGAGACUUGUGUGGAUGGACAAUGUGUUCUGCAGAGGAAUCACA